This 1192-nucleotide long non-coding RNA is filed under the name Mus musculus (house mouse). Its description in RNAcentral is "RIKEN cDNA 4930431F10 gene (4930431F10Rik)". The record is from RNAcentral. Lineage: Eukaryota; Metazoa; Chordata; Mammalia; Rodentia; Muridae.
AGAUUUCUUUCCUAGGGUUUCUAUCUCCUGCGUUGUCUCACUUUGGGUUUUCUUUAUUGUUUCUACUUCCCUUUUUAGGUCUUGUAUGGUUUUGUUCAAUUCCAUCACCUGUUUGGUUGUGUUUUCCUGUUUUUCUAUAAGGUCUUCUACCUGUUUAGCAGUGUUCUCCUGUAUUUCUUUAAGUAUGUUAUUAAAGUCCUUCUUGAUGUCCUCUACCAUCAUCAUGAGAUAUGCUUUUAAAUCUGAGUCUAUCUUUACGGGUGGAUUGGGGUAUCCAGGACUGGCUGAGGUGGGAGUGUUGGGUUCUGAUGAUGGUGAGUGGUCUUGGUUUUUGUUAGUAAGAUUCUUAAGUUUGCCUUUUCCCAUCUAGUAAUCUCUGGAGUUUGUUGUUAUCGUUGUCUCUGGUUGAAGCUUGUUCCUCCCGUGAUUCUGUUAGCCUCUGUCAGCAGACCUGGGAGACUAGCUCUCUCCUGAGUUUCAGUGGUCAGAGUACUCUCUGCAGGCAAGCUCUUCUCUUGCAGGGAAAGUGCACAGAUAUCUGGUGCUCGGACCUACCUCCUGGCUGAAGAUGAAGGCCCGAAACAGAUGUAGUCCGCACUCUCACCUGUACAGACUACUCUCUGAGAGAUCCAGGACCAGAGAUGGCUCCCCCAGGUGCUCCGGCAAAGUCCUCCCGGGAGUUUCACUUUGAUGUGUCAAAGGAAAUGCCAGGAACUCCAGGCGAGAGUCAUCACCACGUGAACACAGGAUCAACAGCAGGUGUGGCUGGAGCCUUGGAAUCGUGAUCCGGUUUUAAGGAUAAAAAGGAUGAAUGUUUCAAAUGCUUCAGCGUUUGAAAGUCUACAUUGCCAGGCGUCCAUGAAUAGGAGCUGGACACUUCAGAGCUGCGUCAGAGAGAGGCUGUUGAUCAUGAUUAAGAAGCUGAAGGGAACACUGCCUUCUCUGCCCUGCUUGCGUGAAGCAGGUGGGAAGCAGAUGUACUUCCUGAACACCUGGAAGGGCUGGCAGCUGCUCUUGAGCUUGAACAUUGAGCAAUCACCUUCCCUUUUAGAACCUUGCAAAUUAAGUUCUGUAAACAGAUGGCCUGGCUAUGGCCAGGUGUCUGCGGUAGAGAUGAUAAUAGUAAACCCUACAGAUUUGUUGUUUCUAUAUCCUCCACACCACGGCCUCAAUGAAUCUCAAUCUCACGGUG